GCCAGGUGUGGUGCCUUGCACCUGUAGUCCCAGCUACUUGGGGGGCUGAGGUGGGAGGAUCACUUGAGCCCAGGAAGUCGGGGCUGCAGUGAGCUGAGAUGGUAAGGCUGCACUCCAGCCUGGGUAACAGAGUGAGACCCUGUCUCAA
This 148-nucleotide non-coding RNA is filed under the name Pan troglodytes (chimpanzee). Lineage: Eukaryota; Metazoa; Chordata; Mammalia; Primates; Hominidae. The record is from Rfam by way of RNAcentral.